CACGAUUCUUCGAAGGUUUUUAUCGGUUAAUUUUGGCAUUGGUUAUUUACGUUACAGUGUCGACAUCAAUCAUUCCGUGUCUAGAAAUAUUAUUCUUGAGAGAAAGCAAAUGAGUAUGAUUAUACUUUAUAAAAACUGGUCUGGAUAACAAUAGAUACAGGUACAUAUGAUAUCACCGAUUUAACAUAUACAACAAACUAGUUACAAGAAAGGUACAACAAUUUCUAAGGUAGCUAAGCAUUAUGAAAUUGCGAGGGUGGUUACCGGCUUGUCACGGUCUGCUUGGUGCGUCGUCGGCUCCGUCUCUGCCUUAGACGAUUAUUCCAAUCUUUCACAUAUAACUUCGGGAACAUCCAUAGGAUUAGAGAGUCGAUCUUUGGCCAGUACCAAAAUCGGAAACCUGACCAUAACGCGGCUGGCAACAUGACAGCACCUAAGCCAAAAACGUAUCCGAAUGCUUUACUUAGAAAGUCCCAGUUGGUCGAUUUUUCAUGUCUGCCAUUGAAGUCACACCAAACAUUUGGAGAAGAGCAUGAUCUAGUUAAAGGUUUCCCACACAAAUUCGGGUUACCUCCAUACGAAGUGUUCUCAAAUGUUU
RNAcentral lists this long non-coding RNA (598 nucleotides) under Linum usitatissimum (flax). RNAcentral's name for it is "long non-coding RNA (LUSI_LNC002153)". Lineage: Eukaryota; Viridiplantae; Streptophyta; Magnoliopsida; Malpighiales; Linaceae. The record is from RNAcentral.